GCGUAAAGAGCUCGUAGGUGGUUUGUCGCGUUGUUCGUGAAAUCUCACGGCUUAACUGUGAGCGUGCGGGCGAUACGGGCAGACUUGAGUACUGCAGGGGAGACUGGAAUUCCUGGUGUAGCGGUGGAAUGCGCAGAUAUCAGGAGGAACACCGGUGGCGAAGGCGGGUCUCUGGGCAGUAACUGACGCUGAGGAGCGAAAGCGUGGGGAGCGAACAGGAUUAGAUACCCUGGUAGUCCACGCCGUAAACGGUGGGUACUAAGUGUGGGUUUCCUUCCUUGGGAUCCGUGCCGUAGCUAACGCAUUAAGUACCCCGCCUGGGGAGUACGGCCGCAAGGCUAAAACUCAAAGAAAUUGACGGGGGCCCGCACAAGCGGCGGAGCAUGUGGAUUAAUUCGAUGCAACGCGAAGAACCUUACCUGGGUUUGACAUGCACAGGACGCCGGCAGAGAUGUCGGUUCCCUUGUGGCCUGUGUGCAGGUGGUGCAUGGCUGUCGUCAGCUCGUGUCGUGAGAUGUUGGGUUAAGUCCCGCAACGAGCGCAACCCUUGUCUCAUGUUGCCAGCGGGUAAUGCCGGGGACUCGUGAGAGACUGCCGGGGUCAACUCGGAGGAAGGUGGGGAUGACGUCAAGUCAUCAUGCCCCUUAUGUCCAGGGCUUCACACAUGCUACAAUGGCCGGUACAAAGGGCUGCGAUGCCGCGAGGUUAAGCGAAUCCUUUUAAAGCCGGUCUCAGUUCGGAUCGGGGUCUGCAACUCGACCCCGUGAAGUCGGAGUCGCUAGU
RNAcentral lists this ribosomal RNA (783 nucleotides) under uncultured Mycobacterium sp. RNAcentral's name for it is "bacterial SSU rRNA". It matches the Rfam family "Bacterial small subunit ribosomal RNA", at positions 558 to 1339 of the family's 1533-position model. Lineage: Bacteria; Bacillati; Actinomycetota; Actinomycetes; Mycobacteriales; Mycobacteriaceae. The record is from RNAcentral.